UGGCUCAGUGGUAGAGCACUUGCUUUGCAUGCACAAGGCCUUGGGUUCGAGCCCCAG
RNAcentral lists this transfer RNA (57 nucleotides) under Cavia porcellus (domestic guinea pig). It matches the Rfam family "tRNA", at positions 8 to 63 of the family's 71-position model. Rfam says of the family: Transfer RNA (tRNA) molecules are approximately 80 nucleotides in length. Their secondary structure includes four short double-helical elements and three loops (D, anti-codon, and T loops). The record is from Rfam by way of RNAcentral. Lineage: Eukaryota; Metazoa; Chordata; Mammalia; Rodentia; Caviidae.